UACGAAGGGUGCAAGCGUUACUCGGAAUUACUGGGCGUAAAGCGUGCGUAGGUGGUGAGUUAAGUCUGUCGUGAAAGCCCCGGGCUUAACCUGGGAACUGCGCUUGUGACUGCAAGACUCGAGUACGGCAGAGGGGGGUAGAAUUCCACGUGUAGCAGUGAAAUGCGUAGAGAUGUGGAGGAAUACCGAUGGCGAAGGCAGCCCCCUGGGUCGAUACUGACGCUCAUGCACGAAAGCGUGGGGAGCAAACAGG
Molecule: ribosomal RNA, 253 nt
Filed under: uncultured bacterium
Lineage: Bacteria
Description: partial 16S ribosomal RNA
Rfam family: Bacterial small subunit ribosomal RNA
Source: RNAcentral